This is a long non-coding RNA of Dendroctonus ponderosae (mountain pine beetle), 2373 nucleotides long. RefSeq lists it as uncharacterized. The record is from RefSeq and is a predicted model, not a curated record. The transcript has 4 exons. Lineage: Eukaryota; Metazoa; Arthropoda; Insecta; Coleoptera; Curculionidae.
UUUGGUUUCCAUUCAACACGUCAUCAGGCCGGCUAUAAAACUGUUAGAUGUAAGCUGGUCGGUUGUGUCCGGAUACCCGGUUGAUGGGUUUUAAAUGGGACGCCGUUUGCUACAGUCCAAAUACUGUUUAUUGAUGUGACAAAUCAGGCAUUUGUUUAGAUUACACCCAUCAUUCAUUCAUAUGACUUCGCAUCUACGUCGGGAAGGGUUCAACAUCCAAAUUUGACUGUAUGAUUUAACACAUUCUAAUUGGCAAAGCAAAUACAUUGACUACUUGUGCACAACAAGGCGAAAUAAAACAUCUGGCUUUCGAUUGAAUAACGUCUCAAGUCCAUUCUGGUUGUUAUUCAAUCAAUGCCAUUUUUGGACAAAGUGUCAUUAUUUUAAUGUAACUCUCACAGCUACGGACGAAAAACUGGUUUUUUACGGUUUUCUAGUGAAAAUCCUCCGCGAAUAAUCCCAUGUUUUCAUAGAGUUCAAAUAUUGGUGACCUUUUUAUGUACAAACAAGACGUUUUUCAUAACUUUUGUCUCAAAAGUACCUACUUUGUCAGGAUUCUAAAAUGCGGAAACAAGUUGUGAGAAAAACUCCCGAAUUUUCAGAGAGAUUGCGAAUGCUCAAAUGAAAAUCAGCUUCUACGUAACCUACAAGAGCGACAAUUUUAGUUUGAUAUAUCAGUUGAGGGAAAUUAUUUCUACUCUCUUGGCUUUUGAAUAAGAAACACUUUUUUUGAGAAUUGAGAAGCGACUAAAAACCCUGAAGGGCGAAUUAACAACAAUAGGAAAUAUUUACGGUUGGUUGAAAACAGUUUAUCAUCACUGCCAAUUGCGAAGGCCAAACAAAAGUAUCAUGUUUUACAGUUAUUACAAUCUUCCAAUGGUGAGUUAUGCUAGUUCUUGCUGAAGUGCAUUUCAUAUAAAUGCGAAGUGACCCUCAUAUGCACAUUUUACCUGCUGGGCAUACCAGUUUUAGUAGCAAAGGAAUACUUAUUUAUAUCACUUGAAUCGAACAAGUUCUCCAUUGAAAAGUAUUAGUGUCGUUUUAGGUCAUAAUCUAAAAUGGUUUUCAGCUCCACAGGAUGAUGGUUCAACGACACUGAGUCAGUUAUUUUAGUCUUAUUUUCAUACUUCAUACUUAAUAAAAGCAAUAGUACUUAAUUCAUGUUUUUCACACAAAAAUGUUUUCAAUUUUCAAUUCAAUUUUGUUUUGUUUUCUAGCACGGUUUCAAGCGAUACUAUUAUCUAAUAUUUGUUAUAAAACAUUAAGUAAAUCUUAUUUAUCUGCUAUUUUUUCAUGAAACGCAGUAAAUUGUUGGAAGGCAAGUUCGCCUUAAAUUUGUAAGACACAUACGAACAUUUCUUUGAAGCUCAAACUAUUGACCGAACGGAAUGUUAUUUCUUUCUAGUUCAAGAGGCGACGCAACGGAGCAAAUUUAUAAAAGUUUAGAGCUUACCAAAGAAAAAAUACUCAAAUUUAAAAUAAUAAUUAAUCUUCUUAAUAUUUCCAUGCUAAAUAUCAUUAUUCAUUUGCAAAAUUCAGGCCUUGUGGGUUAAGCUGGACAUUGAAAUGUAAACCAGGUGCUUUUUGUCCUCAACUUUUCAAACUGCGUAAUUAUUCAUUGAACAUUUAAUUACUAGAGUGCAUCCAUAAAUUAUUUUUAGCCACAUUUCCACAGAUUGACACAGUUUAUGUUAGUAAAACCCAAAUUGCUCAUGCACAUUCACAAUUUCUAAUUGCUUCAUAAUAAAUAAUGAUGAUUUACAGGUAGGUGUGUGUAACACACUUGAUGUAAAUGUAGAUUGGAUUCCUAUUUUAUGCUUUUAUUAUUUGCUUUACUUAAAAUAGACUAAUCACUUUCGGACUGUUGGAGUUAACUCAAUUUCAUCUCACAUUGGAUGUUUUACGUGAAACCUUGCAACUGUUCUGAAGAUGAUCAGAACCAACCUAACAAUGCUAGUAAAUUAAAUGUUCGUCUGGAUUUAUAAACGUUUCAAUUGCAGCUGCGGAAAGCAUUCUCAGAGGAACAAAAAGGAAUAAUUCUUUUACGGAAGUUUGGCUUUUGUUAAAAGCUUUAGAACAAAAUUCGGUUGGCAAAAACUUUCAAAGUUUGGCUUAGUUCUUUGUGUCUGUUUGAUUUUUGCAUGUAUUUUGGUUUCAUUACCGAAUUCAUUUUUCCGAAAAAUCUUUCAACUUAAAAUGCUUUGAGAACGUUUCAUUUGGUCACGAUUAGCAUUUGCUUUCCUAACACAUCCAGAAUUUAUUUAUUAGUGUACGCAGACAUAUAUGUCUAAUAUUUGUAAAAGCGCAAAAUAUAUAAACUUGUAUAUCCAUCCGGGGACACUGUAAUAAAGUAAUAAAUGUAUAGAACACGAA